CCCGAAUGCUCGGCCCGCCUUGAGGAAAGUCGAUCCUCGCGUCGUCCCCGUCGUUUUGGUCCGCUCAGCUCGCUAAUCCGGUGAGUUUAACUCACUAAACCUUGAUUAAACGGUUAAUGAUGCCCUAAGUGUGCUUAGUCUAAGUUAUGUAAGUUUAGGUGGUUAGAUUAGUUUAUUUGGUUGAGGAUUAUAUUAAGAUGUUUAAUUAAGUUAAAGUGUGUUUAGUUUAAAGUAAAGUAUGUUUAUUUUAAUAUAACGCCUUGAUGUGACAUAAUAGGGUUUUACUUUUGCAUUAUUUAAUGAUUUCGAAUUCUGGAAUUUAUAAUAUUAUAUUAUAUUCCAAAAUUAUUAAAAUAUUAUUAUUAAAAAAAAUGGAAAAAUUAUUUUUGACCCCGAUUGCUUAGAAUUUCGUGCCGAUCGCUGCUGUGCAUUCAGAUUUCGAAAUUGAUGGUUGGAUAUUAUAGAUUGAGCGUGGAUCGUGAAAUAUAUGGAUAUUAUUAUUUAAUUAAUUUUCGGAAUAAAUUUAAUUAUUUAAUAAAUUCUGAAAAUUAUUUGGGAACCUUAUUCUCUUAGAAUUUCGUGCUGAUCGCUGCUGUGUAUUCAUAAUUUGAAUUUGAUGAUUGAUUGUGGCAAAUGGAGUGUGAUUGUGAUAAAUAGGGAUUUUUUUUAUAAAAUCCUAAGUGUAGAAUUGAUGGGAGAUUGGCCGUGAUUGACCACCUAUUAGAGGUCGUGCCCAGUGAGGCCAUGAUGUACCACCUAGGAAAGGUCGUGCUCAGUGAGGCCGUGAUUAACCACCUAUUAGAGGUCGUGCCUAGUGAGGCCGUGAUUAACCACCUAUGAGAGGUCGUGCCCAGUGAGGCUGUGAUUAACCACCUAUUAGAGGUCGUGCCCAGUGAGGUCGUGAUGAACCACCUAUGAGAGGUCAUGCCCAGUAAGGCCGUGAUGGACCACCUAUGAGAGGUCGUGCCUAAUAAGACUGUGAUGAACCACCUAUUAGAGGUCGUGCCCAGUGAGGCGGUGAUGGACCACCUAAUUAAAGGUCGUGCCGAGUGGGGCCGCGAUUGCCACUGUCUGUUAAACCUUCCUAUAGGGCCGGGAUUGAGAACAAUGAUUGAUUUGCUAGAAUGACAUGUAAUCGGCCGAGUCGAUUCAUCGCUGAGACGAUCCAAGUGGUUGAAUUGUUUUGAUAAUGUGAUUGUGCCACGGUUGUUUGGUUAUCAUAAUUGUACGUGGUUGAAUUAUAUAAAUUGUGCUAACCUGCAGAUGAAGGCUGAGGCGAGGUAAGUCUUCUGUGUGAUGUGGCUAGGCCACUCGGGGCGUAUUUUCUUUCUAAUAGGGGUUUAGGGUGUUGAACUUGCUGAGACAUCGUCUCAUCCCGGUUGUGGGAUUAAAAUUUCAGGUCCCUAGUGGAUGGAGCGACCAGAUAGCUUUGGUUGGCCUUGAGGAGUUGCAGAGGUGAAGUCAUAAGAUUGGAGAACGUGUCCGACUUGUAGGUCGUAGGACAAUUCAUUUUUAAGAGCCGGUCUUUUGUAGACUUUUGGCCGUAGACCUCUGUUUGUAAUUCUGUUGAAUUAUGGAAGUGUUAUGUUGUGGUUUUGCUUCCUGC
Molecule: long non-coding RNA, 1606 nt
Filed under: Eucalyptus grandis
Lineage: Eukaryota; Viridiplantae; Streptophyta; Magnoliopsida; Myrtales; Myrtaceae
Description: long non-coding RNA (EGRA_LNC002195)
Source: RNAcentral